Molecule: ribosomal RNA, 364 nt
Filed under: uncultured bacterium
Lineage: Bacteria
Description: bacterial SSU rRNA
Rfam family: Bacterial small subunit ribosomal RNA
Source: RNAcentral
ACGAGAAAGUCUCCGCAAGGGGAUGAGUAAAGUGGCGACCGGGUGAGUAACACGUAGCUAACCUACCCUCAAGUGGGGGAUAACCUGGGGAAACCUGGGCUAAUACCGCAUCACAUCCCGAUGGCGCAAGCUGUUGGGAGUAAAGGCCCGCAAGGGUCGCUGGAGGAGGGGGCUGCGGCCGAUUAGCUAGUUGGUGAGGUAACGGCCCACCAAGGCGAUGAUCGGUAGCCGGCCUGAGAGGGCGCACGGCCACACUGGCACUGACACACGGGCCAGACUCCUACGGGAGGCAGCAGUGGGGAAUUUUGCACAAUGCCCGAAAGGGUGAUGCAGCAACGCCGCGUGAGGGAUGAAGGCCUUCGGG